RNAcentral lists this ribosomal RNA (253 nucleotides) under bacterium. RNAcentral's name for it is "partial 16S ribosomal RNA". It matches the Rfam family "Bacterial small subunit ribosomal RNA", at positions 524 to 776 of the family's 1533-position model. The record is from RNAcentral. RNAcentral also lists the same sequence under 2 other names.
UACGUAGGGUGCAAGCGUUAAUCGGAAUUACUGGGCGUAAAGCGUGCGCAGGCGGUUGUGUAAGUCAGAUGUGAAAUCCCCGGGCUCAACCUGGGAAUUGCAUUUGAGACUGCACGGCUAGAGUGUGUCAGAGGGGGGUAGAAUUCCACGUGUAGCAGUGAAAUGCGUAGAUAUGUGGAGGAAUACCGAUGGCGAAGGCAGCCCCCUGGGAUAACACUGACGCUCAUGCACGAAAGCGUGGGGAGCAAACAGG